RNAcentral lists this unclassified non-coding RNA (164 nucleotides) under uncultured Clavicipitaceae. RNAcentral's name for it is "sequence contains ITS1". The record is from RNAcentral. Lineage: Eukaryota; Fungi; Ascomycota; Sordariomycetes; Hypocreales; Clavicipitaceae.
CUGAGUGUUACAACUCCCAAACCCUUUGUGAACCUUACCAAUCGUUGCUUCGGCGGGACCGCCCCGGCGCCUUGACUGGCGCCGGACACAAGGCGCCCGCCGGGGGCCACAAACUCUUUGUUUUUACUCCAGUAUUCUCUCUGAGUGGCACAAGAAAUAAAUUA